This 311-nucleotide ribosomal RNA is filed under the name uncultured bacterium. RNAcentral's name for it is "partial 16S ribosomal RNA". It matches the Rfam family "Bacterial small subunit ribosomal RNA", at positions 28 to 337 of the family's 1533-position model. The record is from RNAcentral.
GACGAACGCUGGCGGCGUGCUUAACACAUGCAAGUCGAACGGGGGCUUGCCCUUUGGGGCGGGUUUAGUGGCGAACGGGUGAGUAACACGUGGGUAAUCUGCCCUCAGCUCUGGGAUAACGUCCGGGAAACCGGGGCUAAUACUGGAUAUGACUACUGGUGACAUCGCCUGGUGGUGGAAAGUAUUUUUUGGCUGAGGAUGGGCCCGCGGCCUAUCAGCUUGUUGGUGGGGUAAUGGCCUACCAAGGCUUCGACGGGUAGCCGGCCUGAGAGGGCGACCGGCCACACUGGGACUGAGACACGGCCCAGACU